GGACGUGUGGUGUAAUGGUAACACUUCUGUCUCAGUAUUCCAACAGAACUACUGGUUCGAGUCCAGUCGCGUCUA
RNAcentral lists this transfer RNA (75 nucleotides) under Diaporthe ampelina. It matches the Rfam family "tRNA". Rfam says of the family: Transfer RNA (tRNA) molecules are approximately 80 nucleotides in length. Their secondary structure includes four short double-helical elements and three loops (D, anti-codon, and T loops). Lineage: Eukaryota; Fungi; Ascomycota; Sordariomycetes; Diaporthales; Diaporthaceae. The record is from Rfam by way of RNAcentral.